RNAcentral lists this ribosomal RNA (301 nucleotides) under uncultured bacterium. RNAcentral's name for it is "partial 16S ribosomal RNA". It matches the Rfam family "Bacterial small subunit ribosomal RNA", at positions 509 to 807 of the family's 1533-position model. The record is from RNAcentral.
CAGCAGCCGCGGGAAUACAGAGGGUGCGAGCGUUAAUCGGAUUUACUGGGCGUAAAGCGUGCGUAGGCGGCUUCUUAAGUCGGAUGUGAAAUCCCUGAGCUUAACUUAGGAAUUGCAUUCGAUACUGGGAAGCUAGAGUAUGGGAGAGGAUGGUAGAAUUCCAGGUGUAGCGGUGAAAUGCGUAGAGAUCUGGAGGAAUACCGAUGGCGAAGGCAGCCAUCUGGCCUAAUACUGACGCUGAGGUACGAAAGCAUGGGGAGCAAACAGGAUUAGAUACCCCUGUAGUUCCUGUCUCUUAUAC